This 114-nucleotide ribosomal RNA is filed under the name Jaculus jaculus (lesser Egyptian jerboa). Lineage: Eukaryota; Metazoa; Chordata; Mammalia; Rodentia; Dipodidae. The record is from RNAcentral.
CUAGGAGGCCAUGCCACUUUCAACAUGCCCGAUCUCAUCUGAUCUCAGAAGCUAAGCAGGGUCAGACCUGGUUAGUAUUUGGAUGGGAGACCACAUAGGAAUUCUGGGUGCUGA